ACAGUUCGGUCCCUAUCUGCCGUGGGCGCUGGAGAACUGAGGGGGGCUGCUCCUAGUACGAGAGGACCGGAGUGGACGCAUCACUGGUGUUCGGGUUGUCAUGCCAAUGGCACUGCCCGGUAGCUAAAUGCGGAAGAGAUAAGUGCUGAAAGCAUCUAAGCACGAAACUUGCCCCGAGAUGAGUUCUCCCUGACUCCUUGAGAGUCCUGAAGGAACGUUGAAGACGACGACGUUGAUAGGCCGGGUGUGUAAGCGCAGCGAUGCGUUGAGCUAACCGGUACUAAUGAACCGUGAGGCUUAACCUUACAACGCCGAAGGUGUUU
RNAcentral lists this ribosomal RNA (323 nucleotides) under Escherichia coli. Its description in RNAcentral is "partial 23S ribosomal RNA". It matches the Rfam family "Bacterial large subunit ribosomal RNA", at positions 2626 to 2925 of the family's 2925-position model. The record is from RNAcentral. Lineage: Bacteria; Pseudomonadati; Pseudomonadota; Gammaproteobacteria; Enterobacterales; Enterobacteriaceae.